This is a long non-coding RNA of Coccinella septempunctata (seven-spotted ladybird), 942 nucleotides long. RefSeq lists it as uncharacterized. The transcript is spliced from 2 exons. NCBI's taxonomy places the organism in Eukaryota, Metazoa, Arthropoda, Insecta, Coleoptera, Coccinellidae. The record is from RefSeq and is a predicted model, not a curated record.
GUUGGUUUUGGUUAGUUUAGGUUAUAAUAAUCUUUGGGCUAUGAAUGUUAUGUUUGUUGUUUUGAGAUUAUGAAAUAAGACAAUUAUUACGUUUUACUGUUAGUUUAUGAUUUGUGUGAAAUGUGAAGUGAUAGAAUUUCGACAUAAAAAUGAUGGUAUGCUCGGUUACGACUUCUGUUUGGAAUUGAAAGAGGAAUGAAUUAUUGCAGACACCAGAGACAGGGAAGUUUUCUCUGAAGACAGUUCCUGAAAGAAAAAUUGAUGUUUUAGUAUGGGACUGAGGAUGGCACAUUUCGAAAUUAUUUGGUAUUUGAGUGCCUCAGACACAGCCUAUUUCUGUUUCUGUGAGGUUGGUCUAGAGAUAUAUCUUUAAUUUAUAUCUGGAACUUAGCAAGGGAUGUUGAAUUCGCAUUUUUAGUCAUUUUUGGAAGAUAGAGAGGUUUGCUUAGGAAGACUUCUUGUUCGUUGAAACAUUUCUCGUCCAUAGUUUCAAAAUUGCAGCCCUUUGGUGUGGUUAUUAAGAAAAUUUUUUUUAGAGCAGCAAUGUUAGUCCUUCUACAGACCAUGCAAAUUUAUAUUCCAAAAGGAGAGACUGCUAUGACUCUGGCAUUAUCAUUUUGUCGAAUGAAAUUCUUCUCAAUUUGAACUAGAUGAUAUUGGCAUGAAUGAGGGAAUUUCUUCAGUUGGUAAAAUCAAUCUUUCACUUUGGACCCAUCAACUAAUUUAUCAUUUUGGAAUAAUAUGUUGAGUGCAUAUUAACACAAGAUGAAGAGGUGUAGUGAUACUGUCUAAUAAUUGUAUUAUACUUGUUGGGAUCGAGUGUGAUGUUGGUGGUAAGGAUAGGGAAUCAAACCAUAUUAUUUUAUCCUUUUUAUAUUUAUAGAGUAACAACACUGUUUUAUUACUUUAACAUGGUCAACAAAAAUGCUCUAUUUAUCCUAA